UACGGGGGGAGCAAGCGUUGUUCGGAUUUACUGGGCGUAAAGGGCGCGUAGGCGGUCAGCACAAGUCAGUUGUGAAAUCUCCGGGCUUAACUCGGAAAGGUCAACUGAUACUGUGCGACUAGAGUGCAGAAGGGGCAACUGGAAUUCUCGGUGUAGCGGUGAAAUGCGUAGAUAUCGAGAGGAACACCUGCGGCGAAGGCGGGUUGCUGGGCUGACACUGACGCUGAUGCGCGAAAGUCAGGGGAGCGAACGGG
This 254-nucleotide ribosomal RNA is filed under the name uncultured bacterium. RNAcentral describes it as "partial 16S ribosomal RNA". It matches the Rfam family "Bacterial small subunit ribosomal RNA", at positions 524 to 776 of the family's 1533-position model. The record is from RNAcentral.